CNACCUGCCGAUGACUCGGGGAUAGCCUUUCGAAAGAAAGAUUAAUACCCGAUGGCAUAGUUCUUNNNCAUGGUGGAACUAUUAAAGAAUUUCGGUCAUCGAUGGGGAUGCGUUCCAUUAGGUUGUUGGCGGGGUAACGGCCCACCAAGCCUUCGAUGGAUAGGGGUUCUGAGAGGAAGGUCCCCCACAUUGGAACUGAGACACGGUCCAAACUCCUACGGGAGGCAGCAGUGAGGAAUAUUGGUCAAUGGACGAGAGUCUGAACCAGCCAAGUAGCGUGAAGGAUGACUGCCCUAUGGGUUGUAAACUUCUUUUAUACGGGAAUAAAGUGAGGCACGUGUGCCUUUUUGUAUGUACCGUAUGAAUAAGGAUCGGCUAACUCCGUGCCAGCAGCCGCGGUAAUACGGAGGAUCCGAGCGUUAUCCGGAUUUAUUGGGUUUAAAGGGAGCGUAGGCGGACGCUUAAGUCAGUUGUGAAAGUUUGCGGCUCAACCGUAAAAUUGCAGUUGAUACUGGGUGUCUUGAGUACAGUAGAGGCAGGCGGAAUUCGUGGUGUAGCGGUGAAAUGCUUAGAUAUCACGAAGAACUCCGAUUG
Molecule: ribosomal RNA, 594 nt
Filed under: uncultured Bacteroidota bacterium
Lineage: Bacteria; Pseudomonadati; Bacteroidota
Description: bacterial SSU rRNA
Rfam family: Bacterial small subunit ribosomal RNA
Source: RNAcentral